UAGGGAAUCUUCCGCAAUGGACGAAAGUCUGACGGAGCAACGCCGCGUGAGUGAUGAAGGUUUUCGGAUCGUAAAACUCUGUUGUUAGGGAAGAACAAGUUGGGUAGUAACUGACCCAACCUUGACGGUACCUAACCAGAAAGCCACGGCUAACUACGUGCCAGCAGCCGCGGUAAUACGUAGGUGGCAAGCGUUGUCCGGAAUUAUUGGGCGUAAAGCGCUCGCAGGCGGUCUUUUAAGUCUGAUGUGAAAGCCCACGGCUUAACCGUGGAGGGUCAUUGGAAACUGGAGGACUUGAGUAAAGAAGAGGAGAGUGGAAAUCCACGUGGAGCGGUGAAAUGCGUAGAGAUGUGGAGGAACACCAGUGGCGAAGGCGACUCUCUGGUCUGUAACUGACGCUGAGGAGCGAAAGCGUAGGUAGCGAACAGG
RNAcentral lists this ribosomal RNA (429 nucleotides) under bacterium. RNAcentral's name for it is "partial 16S ribosomal RNA". It matches the Rfam family "Bacterial small subunit ribosomal RNA", at positions 355 to 776 of the family's 1533-position model. The record is from RNAcentral.